GCUAAACUAUGCAGCAGAUUGGCCCUCCAGGGAAAGAUUUGAGGAACCCUGCAGUAAACGCUAAAGUUUUCUCAACUUUUAUCAGUAUGUCAGAGCUCAACACAGAGCUUUACGAAACCUUCUUCCUUUACAUCCUCACAGUCACCUUUGAAAUGAUUCGAUUGGCAGUAUUCUCUGACGCAGCAUAAACUGUAGUGUAUACAUGGCCUUAAACCUUGGAUCAAUGAAUGAGACUCUGAGGAGACGGUCCUGAAGUUUCUGAAGUACCUUCACGGGGUGUUCUUGAGGUCAAGGAACAGAAAAACAUUGUGGACCACAUAUUUUGCAUUGGAUGUUAAGUGCUGUGAGGAACAGUUCCAGUUGCAUUUCCACUUGAGUAUAGUUCAUGUCACCGCCAACUCUUGCGUCACUGAGGAGUAGCUCAUCCAAAAAAAAAAAAAAAAAGAUUUUGCUGAAAAUACUGGCCAUGAAAAUAUUGGGGUGUUUUUAUCAGCUGUUUGGAGUUCUGACGGCACCCAUUCACUGCAGAGGAUCUACUGAUUUCUCAAGACCACGAUUAUUGAAUGCAUCUAUCUUUUUCUCGUUCGACGGCUGGACAGAGACGGAUCGCACCGGCGCAGAGAUUUAAGGACUUCCCUGCACCAUCAGAUAGACGCUGACAGUCCUUAAUUCUUCUAAAUGCUAACUGCCCUUUGUCCCGGGUACACAGCAGACAGACAUGUGCACACACACACAUAAAGUACCCAGUGACACAAACUUGAAAGUGCAAUGUCUAUUCCUUCUGAAUGAACAAUGUGUGCAUUGUGGAACAGAAGCAUGUGGAUUGUGAGACACAAAGUCACAUGCACAGAGAGACGGAGUGUGUGGACUAUGAAUGAGAACAGGUUGUCACAGUCAGUGUCGUUCACAGCUUUAUUUCGAAAGGGCUUCAUCAUGCGUUUAAUUUAAAUUUGACACAUAGAUUUUCAAGGUAGCAUUUUUGUAGACAAAAGUCUUCAACCUCCAUUUAAAUUCUGAUCAAACAUACAGAGAUUCAUAAUUUUGACACAUUGCCCUUUUCCUUUAAAGGGAUAGUUCACCCAAAAAUUUUAUUCUGUCAUCAUUUUUUUCAUCCAAACCUGGAUGAUUUUCUGUCUUCUGUGGCAUGCAAGACAACACAUUUUGAAGAAUGUUGGUAACCAAACCAAUGUGUGGAAAACAAAACAAAUCACUGACAUAUUUCUCAAAAUAUAUUAUUUUGUGUUCCACAACAGAAAGAGUGUCAGUUUUGGUAUGACAUGAGGAAAUUAUUUUUUGGUGAACAACUCCUACUACAACAAGUCCACGAGUUUGUGGAAAACCAGAUUAUCAUAUUCACCAACAUGAUUUAAAAUGAUCCAAAUACUUUUUUGUUUGUUUGUUUAUUUCAGAUGUUUUUGUGCAAUCUGCUUAUGUAAAAGUGUUUUCUUAUGAGAUUAGGAUGGUCUGCACAAAAGCACAUGUCAGUGUCACAAUUUUGCCUAUUUGGCUUGUGAACUAAAACCUGAAUAUCUCUUCUUGUAAACUUUGUGUAUUUCCAGGUUUUAAUGAUGGGAACCCAAGAUGUCCUAAUGCACUUUCAGGUUUUAGACCCCAGUGCACAAACACCAGCAAUAUUUCCUAAAAGAUUAAGAAGAUAGGCAGAUCUUUGCAGUUCGUUACAGCUGUUAGUAAAAGUCCUUUUAGGAGGAGAGUUCAUUUUCACUUUACUAAACAACAUAGAGGAGAAAAAGCUAAGAUAAGGACCACAUUUCUUUACAUAAUCACCUUCAUGAAAAUUUCAGCUAAAGUGAAUAAUUCAUUUACCUAGCUAUAUUCAAAAUCACGUUCAACAGCAUUAGAGUCAGCUCAGAUCAGUGGUGCCAUCGCUAUAUAAGAAGUGAGGUAGAAGCAACUUAAUAUAUAAAUCAUUUAUUCAGAGUGACACAUAUUACACAUUCCUCCUCAAUUUUACUUGCAUAGAUGGAUAGAUAUACAGACAGACAGACAGAAAAAAGAAUGGUGUACAAUUUUCAUUUGCCAUUAGUAGCCAUUUAUGCUUUCUCUUAAAAUACUGUUUAGUUUCCUGAGAUGCAAAAACCCAAUUAACCAUAUUUUUAUUUAUUUAAUUUUUAUGCAUUUAUUUAUUUUUUGGGAGGAAGGGUUCAGAUUGGAGCUUUAAGACCAAUUAAAUAUGGUUUUCCUUUUCACAAUGAUCUGGACACUUUAGUAAACACCACAACGACCGUUCCACAGAAUUAAUGAUAUGCUUACAAGUUUCCCAGAAACCUUUUAUUAUGGUUGUGAUUAUUAGAUGAAAAUCGUUUACGUGUGACUGUGGGUGUAACAGAGCCUAUACUACUGUACAUAA
Onychostoma macrolepis is the source of this 2368-nucleotide long non-coding RNA. RefSeq lists it as uncharacterized. The transcript has 5 exons. The record is from RefSeq and is a predicted model, not a curated record. Lineage: Eukaryota; Metazoa; Chordata; Actinopteri; Cypriniformes; Cyprinidae.